RNAcentral lists this ribosomal RNA (50 nucleotides) under Colletotrichum falcatum. RNAcentral describes it as "partial 28S ribosomal RNA". The record is from RNAcentral. Lineage: Eukaryota; Fungi; Ascomycota; Sordariomycetes; Glomerellales; Glomerellaceae.
CUGGUUGACCUCGGAUCAGGUAGGAAUACCCGCUGAACUUAAGCAUAUAU